CAAGUGCGUUUCUAGGCAACAAAAAUCGCGCCGGCGCCAUUUUCCCCCCUUCAGUCGCAGCAGGAGGACGGGCUCACGCAACGGUCAAGAAAAAUAACAGUCGGACUCAGAUAACGCGACUUUUAUAUUUUGAGACGGUUGGCAGACCAUCUUCCACAUCUCUCGCGCGCGCGGCGCCGCAGAAACUACAGCAACAGAGCAAAGACGUUGAAAGGUGGUGUGAUAUCAACAUGGCUACAAUAAUAUGAGGCUGCAUUUUUUGGCUUUGAUGUCAUUCGAACUACGAUCUGGCGGGUCUUACUAUCUGUAAAGAAGAGUCUGCCGAUGUUUUUAAGACACAAGAAAAAGGACGACCAGGACCAGGUGCAGAAGGCAACACUCACCAUCAUUGCUGUAGAGGAGGAAGAGGGAACUUUUUACCUUUUAACCCACUGGAUAUUUUGAUUGUCUUUGAAGAUGAGGUGAUGUCUGCCAAGUCAGUGCACUGCCUUUGGAGUACACUUAGUUCGUACAGAAAGUACUGUUGAAUUACCUUUCUUACAUAAACAUUAUCUACUCUGUUUCUGGUGGUGUUAGAACAUAGUUAUUUUAUAUUAUUAAUUUAAUUUUACAAACUUUUACAAUUUUAAAAUUAAAAUUUUUAAACAAACAUAUUUCCUUGUUUGUGCGGUCUUAUACUUGGAGGGAAAAAAAUCUAAGAUUGUUUUAAAGUUAUAUUUUUGACUUGACAGCCCAAUUAUUUUAUGCUUGAACAUUUUGUGAAUUAACUGUUGUUUUUCAAUAAAUACUUAAGA
Megalobrama amblycephala (Wuchang bream) is the source of this 794-nucleotide long non-coding RNA. RefSeq lists it as uncharacterized. The record is from RefSeq and is a predicted model, not a curated record. Lineage: Eukaryota; Metazoa; Chordata; Actinopteri; Cypriniformes; Xenocyprididae. The transcript has 5 exons.